This 372-nucleotide ribosomal RNA is filed under the name uncultured archaeon. RNAcentral's name for it is "bacterial SSU rRNA". It matches the Rfam family "Archaeal small subunit ribosomal RNA", at positions 479 to 850 of the family's 1478-position model. The record is from RNAcentral.
GCUCCGCGAGUGGUCGGGACGUUUAUUGGGUCUAAAGCGUCCGUAGCCGGCUUACUAAGUCUCCGGCUAAAACCCACGGCUCAACCGUGGGAUCGCCGAAGAUACUGAUAGGCUUGGGGGCGGAAGAGGCCGAGGGUACUUCCGGGGUAGGGGCGAAAUCCUAUAAUCCCGGAAGGACCACCAGUGGCGAAGGCGCUCGGCUAGUACGCGCCCGACGGUGAGGGACGAAAGCUGGGGGAGCGAACCGGAUUAGAUACCCGGGUAGUCCCAGCUGUAAACGAUGCAGACUAGGUGUUGGAUAGGCUUCGGGCCUAUCCAGUGCCGCAGUGAAGACAAUAAGUCUGCCACCUGGGGAGUACGGCCGUCAAGGCU